CCUUCAGUGGUAUGUUUUUUUUUUCUUUUGCUCGAAGUUUUAAAUUGCUUGUAGUUUGUUAUUUGAGUUAAAGAGACUUCUAGAUUAAGAUGUAUAUGCUUGUAUAUGUUUAUGUUUAACAUUGUGUCACGCGGGGCAUUUAUAGCUUACUAUACAGUAUGGGUUUUGCUCGUUGUUGAAGGCCGUAAAGGUGUCACCUUGGUAAUCAUACGACAUCUUCUUUUUUGUAUUGUUUUAAAACGUUGAACAAUACUUAGCACACAUGUAAAGUAUUUUGUUUGUAACACGUAAAUUAUUAAAUCGUUUAAUUUUAAAUAUUGCUUCAGUUAGAUAGGAAUAUGCUGAAUAAGCUGUUAAUGCACAAUCAUAAAGGUGCCGCUGAGAGGUGCCGAUGCGGCGUAAAACAAUCACCAAUUAAUUAACCACAAUCUUAAAGAUAGGAAUGAAUGUAGGGAUAUGUGGAGUUUACGUCAAUGAUACAGCAGCUUACACAUUAACAGCAGUUACACAUUGAGGAUAUGUAUGUAAACUUUGUACGCGUGUGCAUUUAAGGAGUAUGAACUUUGAACAACAUAUACUCUGAAGAUGAUGUGUACAUCUCCAAUUCUUCUACAACCCAUAAUAAUAUUCUGACUGACUGCAACCUGUUUGGUAACGAGUUUGAAGCAGAUUAUCCAGUGCAAAAGCUAAACAUUAAUACCACAGAGACUGGAACUUAUUGGGUUGGUGCCAACAUAGGCUUCCAACGAAAUAUAAAUCCUUUAGGAGUUCGUCGUACAGCGUGUAAUAACAACCGAAAUGGAAGUUUAGAUGAAUGUAACAGGCAUUGUAAAGGCCAGAAAUAUUUUAGCUACAACGAACAUUCUUGUAGCUGUUUAAAUGAUCACCACGUUGACGUUGGGCUUUCAAAGACAAAAAUAUGCAAACACCCUAAAAAUGGUCUGUGUUAUGAACAAAACUGCGUAGUGUAUGAAAGAGAUGUUGAAAAAGAAGAUUAUUUGUGUGAUGUAUACUAUUUUGAACCUAACAUCAGAGAAUGGAUAUUCACAACUAAAAAUUGUUCUGUAAAGUUAAACUUUAUUUGCGAUGGAGAUAACCCUUCAUCCGAUGCAACCAAUACUUCAUGGCUUGUAGCAGAGCAAAUAUGUUCAAAAAAGGACAAACACUUACUACAGAUGACAAAAAUACUGGAAAAAAGAUUCAAAGACGGAAACAAUUAUUGGGUAUCUUUUUUUCGUCGAAAAAAGAUUUCUUGGGGAAUAGGUGGUGACAAAGAUGUCUGUGCUGCCAUAACCAUUUUCCCAAACGGAUCAGUAUCACUCGUGUCCAGGUUUUGUACAGAACAAUUAGCCACUUUGUGUUACACACAUAAACUGCACAGAGAUCAUCGGAAUACUACAGCGAAUGACGAUUCGUCGCCAUUAGGAUUAAUAGUUGGUUGUUGUAUUGGUGUAUUAGCUGUUAUUGCCAUGUGUAUAUGUAUCAUCAUUGUUAAACGCAGAAAUGUGAAAAAAAGAAAAUUGAAGUACCUUGAAUCAGUUAUUAAAGACUACGACACUGAGUAUGAUAAUCCUAUGGAGGACAUUUCAGACCAUAUGUACAAAAGCACUGAUGUCACAAAACCUAGCUGCUCUGACUAUUCAUUAGCUGUAACAUACAGCGACCCUAUCAACAGUGUAUUACCUAGAAAUACCAAAUCUAUACCAGAAACAGAAUAUGAAAGUGUAGGAAUGGUACCAUCAAAGAAAACACAGAUUUAUCCUGUAGAAAAUCCAUAUCAAAGUCCUUAUUCAUAAUCAGAUUUUUAUUUUCGUGGACCUUUACAUAAUUGAUUUUUUUUGGCUUUGUUUAAAAUUGGUGAAAUUUACAUUGUGUAUGCUUUUUAGCGAUCUCGACAAUAUGAUUGGCGUAUAUUGUACGUAGAUCAAUUGUAAAUCAUAAUGAUCAUUUAAUUUACUCAGUUUGUUUAACCGAUCUUGCCUCACGUAACGUAUGUAUCUGCUAUAUCAUCUCUUAUGCUGAUUCUGACCCUCCAAUAAUCCCAAAUAUUGCAUAGAACAAAUACUCUUUCACAGCCAACACGAAAAAAAACC
This is an RNA transcript of Mytilus californianus (California mussel), 2093 nucleotides long. RefSeq lists it as uncharacterized. The record is from RefSeq and is a predicted model, not a curated record. The transcript has 9 exons. NCBI's taxonomy places the organism in Eukaryota, Metazoa, Mollusca, Bivalvia, Mytilida, Mytilidae.